RNAcentral lists this ribosomal RNA (253 nucleotides) under uncultured bacterium. RNAcentral's name for it is "partial 16S ribosomal RNA". It matches the Rfam family "Bacterial small subunit ribosomal RNA", at positions 524 to 776 of the family's 1533-position model. The record is from RNAcentral.
UACGUAGGGUGCGAGCGUUGUCCGGAAUUAUUGGGCGUAAAGAGCUCGUAGGCGGUUUGUCGCGUCGGCCGUGAAAACUUGGGGCUUAACCCCGAGCCUGCGGUCGAUACGGGCAGACUUGAGUUCGGCAGGGGAGACUGGAAUUCCUGGUGUAGCGGUGAAAUGCGCAGAUAUCAGGAAGAACACCUAUGGCGAAGGCAGCUCUCUGGGACGGUACUGACGCUGAGACGCGAAAGUGUGGGGAGCGAACAGG